Molecule: ribosomal RNA, 412 nt
Filed under: bacterium
Lineage: Bacteria
Description: partial 16S ribosomal RNA
Rfam family: Bacterial small subunit ribosomal RNA
Source: RNAcentral
UGGGGAAUUUUUCGCAAUGGGGGCAACCCUGACGAAGCAAUGCCGCGUGGAUGAUGAAGUAUCUCGGUACGUAAAAUCCUUUCGACGGGGACGAAACCGCAAGGUUGACGGUACCCGUAGAAGAAGCCCCGGCUAACUCCGUGCCAGCAGCCGCGGUAAUACGGGGGGGGCAAGUGUUGUUCGGAAUUACUGGGCGUAAAGGGUGCGUAGGCGGCUCUCUAAGUCGGAUGUGAAAACUCUGGGCUCAACCCAGAGCCUGCAUCUGAAACUGGAGAGCUAGGGUUUUGGAGGGGAAAGCGGAAUUCCAGGUGUAGCGGUGAAAUGCGUAGAUAUCUGGAGGAACACCGGUGGCGAAGGCGGCUUUCUGGACAAAUACCGACGCUGAGGCACGAAAGCUAGGGGAGCAAACAGG